GUGUAAAGGGAGCGCAGGCGGGACUGCAAGUUGGAUGUGAAAUACGGGGCUCAACCCCGGGGCUGCAUCCAAAACUGUAGUUCUUGAGUGAAGUAGAGGUAGGCGAAUUCCGAGUGUAGCGGUGAAAUGCGUAGAGAUUCGGAGGAACACCAGUGGCGAAGGCGGCUACUGGGCUUUAACUGACGCUGAGGCUCGAAAGUGUGGGGAGCAAACAGGAUUAGAUACCUGGUAGUCCACACUGUAAACGAUGAUAGCUAGGUGUGGGGGGUCUGACCCCUUCCGUGCGGAGUUAACGCAAUAAGCUAUCCACCUGGGGAGUACGGCCGCAAGGUUGAAACUCAAAGGAUUGACGGGGGCCCGCACAAGCAGUGGAUUAUGUGGUUUAAUUCGAAGCAACGCGAAGAACUUACCAGGUCUUGACAUCCAACUAACGAGAUAGAGAUAUGUUAGGUGCCCUUCGGGGAAGUUGAGACAGGUGGUGCAUGGUUGUCGUCAGCUCGUGUCGUGAGAUGUUGGGUUAAGUCCGCAACGAGCGCAACCCCUGCCAUUAGUUGCUACGCAAGAGCACUCUAAUGGGACCGCUACGACAAGGUGGAGGAAGGUGGGGACGACGUCAAAUCAUCAUGCCCCUUAUGACCUGGGCUAACACGUAAUACAAUGGCCGUUAACAACGAGAAGCAAAGCAGCGAUGCGGAGCAAAACUCCAAAACGGUCUCAGUUCGGAUUGUAGGCUGCAACCCGCCUACAUGAAGUUGGAAUUGCUAGAAUCGCGGAUCAGCAUGCCGCGGUGAAUACGUUCCCGGGCCUUGUACUCACCGCCCGUAA
Molecule: ribosomal RNA, 825 nt
Filed under: uncultured bacterium
Lineage: Bacteria
Description: bacterial SSU rRNA
Rfam family: Bacterial small subunit ribosomal RNA
Source: RNAcentral